Molecule: ribosomal RNA, 253 nt
Filed under: uncultured bacterium
Lineage: Bacteria
Description: partial 16S ribosomal RNA
Rfam family: Bacterial small subunit ribosomal RNA
Source: RNAcentral
UACGGAAGGGGCAAGCGUUGUCCGGAAUUAUUGGGCGUAAAGAGCGCGUAGGCGGUCCGAUAAGUCGGCUGUGAAAGUCAAGGGCUCAACCCUUGAAAGCCGGCCGAUACUGUCGGACUAGAGUCCGGAAGAGGCGAGUGGAAUUCCUGGUGUAGCGGUGAAAUGCGCAGAUAUCAGGAAGAACACCAAUGGCGAAAGCAGCUCUCUGGGACGGUACUGACGCUGAGACGCGAAAGCGUGGGGAGCGAACAGG